This 69-nucleotide transfer RNA is filed under the name Caerostris extrusa. RNAcentral's name for it is "tRNA-Glu". It matches the Rfam family "tRNA". Rfam says of the family: Transfer RNA (tRNA) molecules are approximately 80 nucleotides in length. Their secondary structure includes four short double-helical elements and three loops (D, anti-codon, and T loops). Lineage: Eukaryota; Metazoa; Arthropoda; Arachnida; Araneae; Araneidae. The record is from RNAcentral.
UCCGGCAUGGUCUAGUGGCUAGGAUACCUGGCUCUCACCCAGGAGGCCGGGUUCAAUUCGGUGUCGGAA